UUCUGUAGCAUCUAACAGGCUACACACGCAGAUACCUGGCAAGUGUCCAGACUGAAAUACGGAGCUUAAAUUUCCACAGCUCAACCCUUAUCAGAGUCUGUGUUUUGAUGGCCUAUAAAAGGAUGCAGUGUGUGGGAUCCCUCAUCCCUGAGUCCUCUCCUUUUUCAGUGAGUUAAAAUGGGGCUCCAGACAGAAAAGAGGUUUCCAGAGCCAAACCUACCAUUUCCUUUCGGGAUCUAUGACCACCUCCUUCCUGUGAUACCUGGAGUGAGAAUGCGGUGUUUGGAAUCCUUAUCACUGGAGACUGGCUGUCUCUGUCCCACCAGCAGGGUGUGUCUGUGUAGAGCUUCCUGUUACUGCCCCAGUGAAGGUCUGUGGUGUCUUUAUACGCGUGCAUUUGGCAUUACUUUGAGAGGCUGUUACUUUCUCCUGGUGAACUGAUGUCUGAAGAAAUUAAUAAGG
Molossus molossus (Pallas's mastiff bat) is the source of this 462-nucleotide long non-coding RNA. RefSeq lists it as uncharacterized. The transcript has 4 exons. NCBI's taxonomy places the organism in Eukaryota, Metazoa, Chordata, Mammalia, Chiroptera, Molossidae. The record is from RefSeq and is a predicted model, not a curated record.